Molecule: ribosomal RNA, 692 nt
Filed under: uncultured organism
Description: bacterial SSU rRNA
Rfam family: Bacterial small subunit ribosomal RNA
Source: RNAcentral
GGUGCGUAACACGUACUUAAUCUGCCCUAGAGUGGGGGACUACUGUNNGCAAAGUACUAAUCCCCCAUACGUUCCAGUGAAUGAAAAAACGUGGAAGACAGGUUACCGCUCUAGGAGGAGGGUGCGGCCUAUNAGCUAGUUGGUAGGGUAAAGGCCUACCAAGGCGAUGAUAGGUAGCUGGUCUGAGAGGAUGAUCAGCCACAAUGGGACUGAGAUACGGCCCAUACCCCUACGGGGGGCAGCAGUGGGGAAUAUUGCGCAAUGGACGAAAGUCUGACGCAGCGAUCUCGCGUGGAGGAUGAAGCAUUACGGUGUGUAAACUCCUUUUCUGGAGGAAGACGACUGACGGUACUCCAGGAAUAAGGGACGGCUAACUACGUGCCAGCAGCCGCGGUAAUACGUAGGUCUCAAGCGUUAUCCGGAUUUACUGGGCGUAAAGCGUCCGUAGCCUGUUUUGUAAGUCUGCAUUCAAAUACCGGAGCUCAACUUCGGAAAGGGUGUAGAUACUGCAUUACUAGAGAAAAAUAGAGGUUAGUAGAAUUUCCGGUGGAGGAGUGAAAUCCGCUGAUAUCGGAAGGAAUACCAAAAGCGAAGGCAGCUAACUAUAUUUUUUCUGACGGUCAAGGACGAAAGCUUGGGUAGCGAACGGGAUUAGAUACCCCGGUUAUUCAAGCCGUAAAUGAUGCUCGCUA